UACGUAGGGGGCAAGCGUUGUCCGGAAUCAUUGGGCGUAAAGAGCGUGUAAGCGGUUCGGUAAGUCGGCUGUGAAAGUCCAGGGCUCAACCCUGGGAUGCCGGUCGAUACUGCCGGACUAGAGUUCGGAAGAGGCGAGUGGAAUUCCCGGUGUAGCGGUGAAAUGCGCAGAUAUCGGGAGGAACACCUAUGGCGAAGGCAGCUCGCUGGGACGUUACUGACGCUGAGACGCGAAAGCGUGGGGAGCAAACAGG
This 253-nucleotide ribosomal RNA is filed under the name uncultured bacterium. RNAcentral describes it as "partial 16S ribosomal RNA". It matches the Rfam family "Bacterial small subunit ribosomal RNA", at positions 524 to 776 of the family's 1533-position model. The record is from RNAcentral.